This 807-nucleotide ribosomal RNA is filed under the name Triticum aestivum (bread wheat). RNAcentral's name for it is "partial small subunit ribosomal RNA". Lineage: Eukaryota; Viridiplantae; Streptophyta; Magnoliopsida; Poales; Poaceae. The record is from RNAcentral.
AUGCAGGCGACGGCCGCAUCCUUCCUCGCCCGCCCUCUCCCGUGGCCCCGUCGCAUUGGCAGGAGCGCGUAUGGGGCGGUGGCGGUGCACGGAGGCGUCUCGCCGUUGCCACCACGGCUGCGGGGGGUACGGUGCUCCAUGAGCCUCUCUAUCGGCGCCGGUUCGAGCGACAUCGGAGACAGCGGAUUCAGCUACCAGUAUGCUCCUGUCUUCCGAAGAUACCGUGAGCGGGAUCCCUACAAGCUUCUUGGUGUUGACCGUGAUGCAUCUGAAGAAGAGAUCAGAAGUGCAAAAGACUUCCUAGUUCAACAGUAUGCUGGUCACGAAGCAAGUGAAGAAGCUAUUGAAGGUGCUUAUGAAAAGAUAAUAAUGAAGAGCUACCAGCAUAGGAAGAAAACGAAAAUUAAUCUGAAAACCAAGCUUUUAAAGCGAGUCGAGGAAUCCCCGUCAUGGGUAAAGGCAUUUCUUGGAUACUUUGAGGUGCCAUCAAUGGAUAUUAUUUCCAAAAGAUUAUUCUUUUUUGCUUUCAUCGCUGGAUGGAGCAUAGCAACUUCUGCUGAGAAUGGACCUGCAUUCCAGCUCGCAAUAUCACUCUUCUCGUGCAUAUACUUCCUUAAUGACAAGAUGAAGAACCUUCUGAGAGCAUCGACUACUGGGUUUGGAGUACUUGUUGGUGGCUGGAUUGUUGGUUCUAUGUUGGUCCCUCUUAUCCCAACAUUUAUCAUCCCACCUACAUGGUCGCUUGAGCUUCUUACCUCCUUGGUUGCAUAUGUUUUCUUGUUUCUGGGGAGCACUUACCUCAAAUGA